This 269-nucleotide ribosomal RNA is filed under the name uncultured prokaryote. Its description in RNAcentral is "partial 16S ribosomal RNA". It matches the Rfam family "Bacterial small subunit ribosomal RNA", at positions 524 to 792 of the family's 1533-position model. The record is from RNAcentral.
UACGGAGGAUCCGAGCGUUAUCCGGAUUUAUUGGGUUUAAAGGGUGCGCAGGCGGGAGAUUAAGUCGGCGGUGAAAUUUUGCAGCUCAACUGUAAAAGUGCCUUCGAUACUGGUUUCCUUGAGUGUGGAUGAAGUAGGCGGAAUUUGUGGUGUAGCGGUGAAAUGCAUAGAUAUCACGAGGAACUCCGAUUGCGCAGGCAGCUUACUAAACCAUAACUGACGCUCAGGCACGAAGGCGUGGGGAUCAAACAGGAUUAGAUACCCGGGUA